This 373-nucleotide non-coding RNA is filed under the name Eucalyptus grandis. RNAcentral's name for it is "Eukaryotic small subunit ribosomal RNA". It matches the Rfam family "Eukaryotic small subunit ribosomal RNA", at positions 607 to 972 of the family's 1831-position model. The record is from Rfam by way of RNAcentral. Lineage: Eukaryota; Viridiplantae; Streptophyta; Magnoliopsida; Myrtales; Myrtaceae.
AAUCUGUUGCAGUUAAAAAGCUCGUGGUUGGACCUUAGGUAGGGUUGACUGGUCCGCCUCAUGGUGUGCACCAAUUGGCUCGUCCCUUCUACCGACAAUAUGCUCCUAGCCUUAACUAGCCGAGUUGUGCCUCCGAUACUGUUACUUUGAAGAAAUUAGAGUGCUCAAAGCAAGCCUAUGCUUUGUAUACAUUAGCAUGGGAUAACAUCAUAGAAUUCCAGUCCUAUUGUGUUGGCCUUCGGGAUCGGAGUAAUGAUUAACAGGGACAGUCGGAGGUAUUUGUAUUUCAUAGUCAGAAGUGAAAUUUUUGGAUUUAUGAAAGACGAACAAUUGUGAAAGAAAGUAAGGGUUUGGCCAUUUCGGAAUUCGCCUG